UGACACACAAAAUAUAGGAACACUCAACAAGGAUGAAAUAUGGAGGAUAAGUAUUAAUAUGCUUCUCACAAAAGGGAUUAUAAAAUACACUCGAACAAAGAGUGCUUCAGCACUUCAAAGCUUUCUUCUCUCUUUCUCACUUUUAGCUACUGCUCUUUCUCUAUCUCACUCACAAUUCUAACUUCUUUUCUUAAUUGAUAAUUUUACAAAACACAACUAUGCUAUUUAUAGGAAAAUAUUUACUAGCUAUCAUAUAUGUAUACACUACGUCACCUAUUAUUACUAACAAAUGUUAUCCACUAAAUCCACCUCCUAGUGAUAAGUAUGCCGUGAGGAAACAAAAUUCAUCCACGUAUAAUAACUAGGUGAUGCACCUACUUAUCACUUUUCUUAGUCUUGAAGUAAUUGAGUUUAAUAACUCAACAUUUGAAAGCUAUUGGGCCAGAAGCUAGCAGCUACUUGCAGGAUAAUAAGUUGAGGGACUAUUAUGGGAGAAUGAACAUUUUUGGUACCUUUGGAAAUUUAUUGUCCAUUCAUGGGAAGAAGGUCACCAGAAGCUUCACUAAGAGGUUAAAAGACGGGGAUGAACAGAGAUCUCCGAUAUACAGAGAUUCUCAGCGUAGGAUGCAGCUUUCUUCUGAGAAGGUGAAACAAAACUAAGACUCCUGGUCCUGGUGCUCAGUCUGCGCUCAGAGCUCUUGCCCGUUCUGGCAUGAAGAUUGGCCGUAUAGAGGAUGUGACUCCAAUUCCAACUGACAGCACUCGCAGAAAGGGUGGUAGAAGGGGAAGAAGGCUGUAAUCUUGUCAUUUUGGUCAUUCUAUCUGUGGUUCAUUUCAUUUUUAUGGAGUUUCUUAUUUCUACCCAGUGUUUGAAAAUUUUAUAGUUCUACCAAAAACCAUUGAUGUUUUUCACUCUGCGACAUCGACCAAUUAUGAAAUACUACUACUAGUAUUUUUGCUCGAACUAGCUUAACAUUGCCCAUCAUUGCCUUAUUGGCAUUAAUUUGGUUUUUAGUUAUAAAUUAGAAUUGUU
Molecule: long non-coding RNA, 1033 nt
Organism: Salvia splendens (bonfire salvia)
Lineage: Eukaryota; Viridiplantae; Streptophyta; Magnoliopsida; Lamiales; Lamiaceae
Exons: 3
Source: RefSeq, a predicted model, not a curated record